This 323-nucleotide ribosomal RNA is filed under the name uncultured Desulfovibrio sp. RNAcentral describes it as "bacterial SSU rRNA". It matches the Rfam family "Bacterial small subunit ribosomal RNA", at positions 1058 to 1382 of the family's 1533-position model. The record is from RNAcentral. Lineage: Bacteria; Pseudomonadati; Thermodesulfobacteriota; Desulfovibrionia; Desulfovibrionales; Desulfovibrionaceae.
GCUCGUGUCGUGAGAUGUUGGUUAAGUCCCGCAACCGAGCGCAACCCUCGCCUUUAGUUGCCAGCAUUCAGUUGGGCACUCUAGAGGGACUGCCGGUGUCAAACCGGAGGAAGGUGGGGAUGACGUCAAGUCCUCAUGGCCUUUAUGUCUAGGGCUACACACGUACUACAAUGGCCGGUACAAAGGGCAGCCACUCAGCGAUGAGGCGCUAAUCCCAUAAAGCCGGUCUCAGUCCGGAUCGCAGUCUGCAACUCGACUCCAUGAAGUUGGAAUCGCUAGUAAUCGCAGAUCAGCACGCUGCGGUGAAUACGUUCCCGGGCCUU